RNAcentral lists this ribosomal RNA (312 nucleotides) under uncultured eukaryote. RNAcentral's name for it is "partial 18S ribosomal RNA". It matches the Rfam family "Eukaryotic small subunit ribosomal RNA", at positions 1470 to 1796 of the family's 1831-position model. The record is from RNAcentral.
CCCCUAGAUGUCCUGGGCCGCACGCGCAAUACAAUGUAAAGUUCAGAAAGCGUAUCCUGUUCCGGAAGGCAAUGGGUAAUCUUUUCAAUAUUUUACGUGUUAGGGAUCGAUCUUUGCAAUUAUAGAUCUUGAACGAGGAAUACCUAGUAAGUGCAGCUCAUCAGGCUGUACUGAUUACGUCCCUGCCCUUUGUACACACCGCCCGUCGCUCCUACCGAUUUCGAGUGGUCCGGUGAAUCUUUUGGAAUUAGAGUGCAAACUCAAACUAAGAUCGAUAAACCUUAUCACUUAGAGGAAGGAGAAGUCGUAACA